This 484-nucleotide ribosomal RNA is filed under the name uncultured bacterium. Its description in RNAcentral is "partial 16S ribosomal RNA". It matches the Rfam family "Bacterial small subunit ribosomal RNA", at positions 29 to 523 of the family's 1533-position model. The record is from RNAcentral.
AGUGAACGCUGGCGGCGUGCUUAACACAUGCAAGUCGAACGAGAACGGGAUAUAGCUUGCUAUAUUUGUCAGCUAAGUGGCGCACGGGUGAGUAAUGUAUAGGUAAUAUGCCUCUUACUAAGGGAUAACAAUUGGAAACGAUUGCUAAUACCUUAUAUGCCUUUAAGACUAAAGUCUGCAAGGGAAAGAUUUAUUGGUAAGAGAUUAGCCUGUAUUGUAUCAGCUAGUUGGUGAGGUAAUGGCUCACCAAGGCUAUGACGCAUAACUGGUUUGGGAGGAUGAUCAGUGACACUGGAACUGAGACACGGUCCAGACUCCUACGUGAGGCAGCAGUGGGGAACAUUGCACAAUGGACGAAAGUCUGAUGCAGCAACGCCGCGUGGAGGAUGACACAUUUCGGUGCGUAAACUCCUUUUAUAUAGGAAGAUAAUGACGGUACUAUAUGAAUAAGCACCGGCUAACUCCGUGCCAGCCGCCGCCGUAA